GGCAACACUGGUCGGCAUCCAAAGGGCGAAUGGCUACCCGAAGCACCCGAUGACUGUCUAGUACACGCAUACUCCACCAGGAGAAACUUCUAUGAAGUGACUUGAAGAAAGUACGUACUGAAGAUAAGGGAUUUGAAGAAGUCUGGCUCAGCUUCUGAUGAAGGCUGUGAAUCGACAUUACUUUUAGAAAAUUUUAUUUCUAUGUGACCGGGAAAUUGAAGUGUCGAUUAAUGCCAUAGAUGAUGAUGUUGGCACCAUGUUUAUCUUACCGCACUGAACACACUACUGGCAUCGUCGGGCAGGCCCACCUCUCCAUCGCCUCACCCGUGUGGACAACAUUCAUGGAUGAAGAUGGCUUCUCAAAGGGAGGCAAGGAAGUGUUCUCAGGAGGAGAUUAGCCGAGCCGGAUUCAUCAGCCAUGAUGUAUUCAAGUGGUAAUGAUUACUCAAGAGAUGGAGUUUAUAUCCGUCCCGUCUCUGUGCUUUUCCAGUGUCCAGUGGUGGUGAAGUAUUCCACUUUCUGUGAUGUCAGUUGGUCACUUGUACCUAAGGUUAAAUAACUUGGACCCAUAGCUAUUUUUGAGUUUCCAGUGUCCAGUGCUGGAGAAUAUUCCAUUUUCUGUGGUGCCAGUUGGUCACAGAUGCCUAAGGUUUAAAUGACUUGAACCCAUAGCUAAUGUGAAGUGAAUUUGCAGGACUAGCAGAUAGAUCAUUUGUCUAAUUGUUUGCUGAGGCUUUGAUUGUCUGGAUUUAGCAUGUUUUCAUUCAGUAGUACUUUAUAAAAAGUGGUUUAAU
Macrobrachium nipponense is the source of this 794-nucleotide long non-coding RNA. RefSeq lists it as uncharacterized. The record is from RefSeq and is a predicted model, not a curated record. NCBI's taxonomy places the organism in Eukaryota, Metazoa, Arthropoda, Malacostraca, Decapoda, Palaemonidae. The transcript is spliced from 4 exons.